This 843-nucleotide long non-coding RNA is filed under the name Equus asinus (donkey). RNAcentral's name for it is "lncRNA (ENSEASG00005031348.1)". The record is from RNAcentral. Lineage: Eukaryota; Metazoa; Chordata; Mammalia; Perissodactyla; Equidae.
AAAGCAUCUUGCUUCCAGCUCUUUGGGAAGCUAAGAAACAACUCGCUCUGCACAGUGCUCUAACAGCCUACCGGGAACAUCUCUUACAAAGGCCUGUGAAACGAAGUUUCUUUGCAGGCCUGACCUGGCAGAAGUAGAACAUCUGCUCUGGGUGUGCUACAUUGCCCUAGAGCUGCAAGGCACAAAUGCUGCCUUCUUUCCUUAAGGGCAGAUGGCCCCUAAAGCAUCUUGCUUCCAGCUCUUUGGGAAGCUAAGAAACAACUCGCUCUGCACAGUGCUCUAACAGCCUACCGGGAACAUCUCUUACAAAGGCCUGUGAAACGCAGUUUCUUUGCGGGCCUGAUCUGGCUGAAGUAGAACUUCUGCUCUGGGUGUGCUACAUUGCCCUAGAGCUGCAAGGCACAAAGUGCUGCGUUCUUUCCAUAGGGGCAGAUGGGCCCCAAAGCAUCUUUUUUUUUGUUUGUUUGUUUAUUAAUGUUAUGAUGGAUUACAAGCUUGUGAAAUUUCAGUUGUACAUUUUUGUUAGUCAUGUUGUGGGAACACCACUUCCCCCUCCGUGCCCUCCCCCCACCCCCCUUUUCCCUGGUAACCACCGAUCAGAUCUCCUUCUCAAUAUACUAAUUUCCACCUAUGAGUGGAGUCAUAUAGAGUUCGUCUUUCUCUGACUGACUUAUUUCGCUUAACAUAAUGCCCUCGAGGUCCAUCCACAUUGUUGUGAAGGGGCCAAUGUCGUCUUUUUUUAUGGCUGAGUAGUAUUCCAUUGUGUAUAUAUACCACAUCUUCUUUAUCCAAUCAUCAGUUUCUGGGCAUGUAGGCUGGUUCCACGUCUUGGCUAUUGUAAAU